AUUGUUAAGUGGAAAAGGAUGUGGCGUUGCUUAGACAACCAGGAUGUUGGCUUAGAAGCAGCCAUCAUUUAAAGAGUGCGUAAUAGCUCACUGGUCGAGUGACGCUGCGCCGAAAAUGUAUCGGGGCUAAACAAUUCACCGAAGCUGUGGAUGGAUUCCGUAUGGAAUCCGUGGUAGGAGAGCGUUCUAAGGGCGUUGAAGCUAGACCGGAAGGACUGGUGGAGCGCUUAGAAGUGAGAAUGCCGGUAUGAGUAGCGAAAGACGGGUGAGAAUCCCGUCCACCGAAUGACUAAGGUUUCCUGAGGAAGGCUCGUCCGCUCAGGGUUAGUCGGGACCUAAGCCGAGGCCGAUAGGCGUAGGCGAUGGACAACAGGUUGAUAUUCCUGUACCACCACUCCACCGUUUGAGUAAUGGGGGGACGCAGAAGGAUAGGGUAAGCGUACUGUUGGUUAUGUACGUUCAAGCAGUAAGGCGUGGAAUGAGGCAAAUCCCGUUCCUAUAACGUUGAGCUGUGAUGACAAGGACCAUUAGGUCUGAGUUCCUGAUUUCACACUGCCAAGAAAAGCCUCUAACGAGGUGGAAGGUGCCCGUACCGCAAACCGACACAGGUAGUCGAGGAGAGAAUCCUAAGGUGAGCGAGAGAACUCUCGUUAAGGAACUCGGCAAAAUGACCCCGUAACUUCGGGAGAAGGGGUGCUCUAUUAGGGUGUUAAAGCCCGAGAGAGCCGCAGUGAAUAGGCCCAGGCGACUGUUUAGCAAAAACACAGGUCUCUGCAAAACCGUAAGGUGACGUAUAGGGGCUGACGCCUGCCCGGUGCUGGAAGGUUAAGAGGAGUGCUUAGCGCAAGCGAAGGUGCGAAUUGAAGCCCCAGUAAACGGCGGCCGUAACUAUAACGGUCCUAAGGUAGCGAAAUUCCUUGUCGGGUAAGUUCCGACCCGCACGAAAGGCGUAACGAUCUGGGCACUGUCUCAACGAGAGACUCGGUGAAAUUAUAGUACCUGUGAAGAUGCAGGUUACCCGCGACAGGACGGAAAGACCCCGUGGAGCUUUACUGUAGCCUGAUAUUGAAUUUUGGUACAACUUGUACAGGAUAGGUAGGAGCCUGAGAUUCCGGAGCGCCAGCUUCGGAGGAGGCGUCGGUGGGAUACUACCCUGGUUGUAUUGAACUUCUAACCCUUGCCCCUUAGCGGGGCAGGAGACAGUGUCAGGCGGGCAGUUUGACUGGGGCGGUCGCCUCCUAAAGUGUAACGGAGGCGCCCAAAGGUUCCCUCAGAAUGGUUGGAAAUCAUUCGUAGAGUGUAAAGGCAGAAGGGAGCUUGACUGCGAGACCUACAAGUCGAGCAGGGUCGAAAGACGGGCUUAGUGAUCCGGUGGUUCCGCAUGGAAGGGCCAUCGCUCAACGGAUAAAAGCUACCCCGGGGAUAACAGGCUUAUCUCCCCCAAGAGUCCACAUCGACGGGGAGGUUUGGCACCUCGAUGUCGGCUCAUCGCAUCCUGGGGCUGUAGUCGGUCCCAAGGGUUGGGCUGUUCGCCCAUUAAAGCGGUACGCGAGCUGGGUUCAGAACGUCGUGAGACAGUUCGGUCCCUAUCCGUCGUGGGCGUAGGAAAUUUGAGAGGAGCUGUCCUUAGUACGAGAGGACCGGGAUGGACACACCGCUGGUGUACCAGUUGUUCUGCCAAGAGCAUCGCUGGGUAGCUAUGUGUGGCCGGGAUAAGUGCUGAAAGCAUCUAAGCAUGAAGCCCCCCUCAAGAUGAGAUUUCCCAUUACGCAAGUAAGUAAGAUCCCUCAAAGACGAUGAGGUAGAUAGGUUCGAGGUGGAAGCGCGGUGACGUGUGCAGCUGACGAAUACUAAUCGAUCGAGGACUUAACCAA
Paenisporosarcina sp. HGH0030 is the source of this 1874-nucleotide ribosomal RNA. It matches the Rfam family "Bacterial large subunit ribosomal RNA", at positions 1055 to 2925 of the family's 2925-position model. The record is from Rfam. Lineage: Bacteria; Bacillati; Bacillota; Bacilli; Caryophanales; Caryophanaceae.